UACGGAGGGGGCUAGCGUUGUUCGGAAUUACUGGGCGUAAAGCGCACGUAGGCGGCUUUGUAAGUUAGAGGUGAAAGCCCGGGGCUCAGCUCCGGAAUUGCCUUUAAGACUGCAUCGCUAGAAUUGUGGAGAGGUAAGUGGAAUUCCGAGUGUAGAGGUGAAAUUCGUAGAUAUUCGGAAGAACACCAGUGGCGAAGGCGACUUACUGGACACAUAUUGACGCUGAGGUGCGAAAGCGUGGGGAGCAAACAGG
This 253-nucleotide ribosomal RNA is filed under the name uncultured bacterium. RNAcentral describes it as "partial 16S ribosomal RNA". It matches the Rfam family "Bacterial small subunit ribosomal RNA", at positions 524 to 776 of the family's 1533-position model. The record is from RNAcentral.